This is a non-coding RNA of Caenorhabditis elegans, 441 nucleotides long. The record is from Ensembl. NCBI's taxonomy places the organism in Eukaryota, Metazoa, Nematoda, Chromadorea, Rhabditida, Rhabditidae.
GACGCUUGUGUGGUGUCCUCCGGAUGUUUUAUUGAUUUUUUAAAGUUUCUAUAAUGAAUUUUUGCUGGAUUUUGACGAUCUUUUUGAAAACGGAGUAAUAACACUUCUUUGGAAAUGAAUCCACUAAAACUGGAAUAUACGAUUACCCGCUUUCAGAAUGUUGAAGAAAUGACUAAGAGAGUAUAAUUGAAGAAAUGGAAAACGUUCACCACAAUGUUGAAAAAAUACGUUCACCACAAUGUUGAAGAAAAAAAAAAGACAGCAAAAUGAAAAAAGAAGACGACAAUAAAUAUUGGAUAGGCACACAAUUAUUUGAUGAAAAGAGAAGAAGAGCAAAGAACUGCUAGCAACAGUAUCAGAAAACAUCGAGAAACGUAAAAAUGAAAAAGAAAAAUUGAUACAUUUUUUUUGUAAUCCAAUAAAGUUUAUUUUAAUACAAUU